Molecule: long non-coding RNA, 581 nt
Filed under: Rattus norvegicus (Norway rat)
Lineage: Eukaryota; Metazoa; Chordata; Mammalia; Rodentia; Muridae
Description: long non-coding RNA NONRATT008583
Source: RNAcentral
GAGAGGUGGCUCAGCGGGAACGGAGAUGGCAGUCUGAGAGACUUACCACUCAGCUUGACAACCUGAGUUCAACCCUCUGAACAUGGUAGAAGGAAAGACCAACUGCACAGGCUGCCUUCUGACCUCCACUUGCAUGCCGUGCACACACAGGUGCACACACACACACAAAAACUCUGCUCUUUGUGCAGUCACUUGCCAAGUUUCCAUGGAGCAGCACUGAGGAUCCCAACUCAGAAGAGUACAACCCUUGCUUGUCCUUCCUUCCUAUCUCUUUGUCUUGUGAAUGCUAACGGGAGCCUAGCUUAUGCUGUCCCUGAUGGGCUGGGAUUCCUCGAUCUUUGAAAAUGCCCUCCCUGCCCCACCCCCACCCCAUGCAGCUUUCUCUCUUCUUCUCCAUCUUCCUCCUCUGGGAAGCUGCCUGUCCCGUAGUUUUUCUAUCAAAACACUGGUAAAGCUUAUCCUUAAGCUUCCUGCUAAAUCUGUUUUCAAAUUCUUUUAUUAACCAGAGCGAGUACCAGAAAGGGAAUCCGCAUUUCCCCAGUAACACAAUCACACCGUGGGUCACGUUCACAGUUGUAUCA